ACAACCAUUAGUUACCUGGGAGCUAAAUUUGCAUUACACUUAAUAAGGUUCCAAUUAACUUGUAAAAUAAAAUACUCUCCCUUAUGCAAGAGUCCAAGAUUAAAUAACACAAUGACAAGCAGAAUACCUAAAACAAAGAUCAACACUAGUAACAAAUACAUUCCCUUCCAGAUGCAUGCCACUGCUUAAAAGACUAAUCAUUGUCAUGUAAAAAAACUAAAAGUGGACAGUCAGACAAGUGAAGGAAGAUCAUUAGAUUUAUUUUUCAUUUAUUAACUUUCAAUUGAUGUGAUUUUUAUUGCAUUGAAAUAUUAAAGACGCCACUAGUAAAUCUUAGUCAUUCAGGUAAGGGACGGUAAAAAUCAUUGAUCAUCUAUAUGAGAAUUUGAGUAGAAAGAUCAGGGAAAAGGAGAUAUCUAUCACAUUGUGUGUGUGUGUCUGUGCGCAUCUCUGUGUGUGUAACUUGAAGAUAUACAAACAAAUUAAGGGAUAAGAAAAUUAACACACCUUAGCAUCAGGGUCAGCACCA
This 529-nucleotide unclassified non-coding RNA is filed under the name Hevea brasiliensis (rubber tree). Lineage: Eukaryota; Viridiplantae; Streptophyta; Magnoliopsida; Malpighiales; Euphorbiaceae. The record is from RNAcentral.